CCUCUCUCCCUUUCCUAUGAAAUGAUAUAUAAUCUCCGCUUGAUUUGUUCGUUUGCCUUGUUAUGCUUGUUGAUAGAAGCCUCAAAUUAGGGAUUUCAGGAGAUUGUGAUUGUGAUUUGGGGUUCAUGUGUCAAAGUGAGAGUUUUUAUAUGAAUAAUAAGAGUUGCCUGGGAAGCCAUACCGUUCGUAUUCAUUGUCUAGCACAGAUUUUUUGAAGUUUUUGGUUCAAAGUCAUGAACUUGAGUAGGCAUACUAGGCAGGAGUCAUAUCUCUUUUAAUGUUAUCUGUGUGCUUGUCUUUUGUGGGGAGAUGAAAAAAAAAAUCAGAUUAUCUAGCUUGGGGGAGAAUAUGGGUAGGAGAUUCAUUGUUAUAGUGUUUUGUUUUACUUAAUUUUGUAGCUCCUUCUGCUGACUGUUUAGUAUCUUGCUUGGUGAAUUUUCUUUGUUCUCUUUGAGACCUGAUGUCUAUCUUAUUGCGAGGUGUGUUGUUAUGGAAAAUUGAUACAUCUUAUUUUUCUUGUUUGAUGUUAUGAAGCCUUCAUUCAACUGCAUUGCGUAUCUUCUUUUAAUGGGAAUGUAAUGAUGCUGAGCUUAUACGUUUGAUGUCUUUAGGCCCCAAACGCUAUCCCUACUCAUAUCACGACAAGGAACCCUGGGUUCUCAAAACAUCAAUCACCGAGACGAGAAAGUUUUAGAUGCAUUUCGAGAGAGAUGAUUGAUAGCUUUAUAAGUCGUUUGUCUAGAUUGGCUCUAAAUUAUGCUGAGUAAAGUAUUAGCGAACUAGCAUUUUGACCAAAAAAAAAAAAAA
Long non-coding RNA from Brassica rapa (field mustard), 807 nucleotides. RefSeq lists it as uncharacterized. The record is from RefSeq and is a predicted model, not a curated record. NCBI's taxonomy places the organism in Eukaryota, Viridiplantae, Streptophyta, Magnoliopsida, Brassicales, Brassicaceae.